Molecule: ribosomal RNA, 399 nt
Filed under: uncultured bacterium
Lineage: Bacteria
Description: bacterial SSU rRNA
Rfam family: Bacterial small subunit ribosomal RNA
Source: RNAcentral
GGGGGAUAUUGCACAAUGGGGGAAACCCUGAUGCAGCGACGCCGCGUGAGCGAAGAAGGCCUUCGGGUCGUAAAGCUCUGUUUCGAGGGAAGAUAAUGACGGUACCUCGGGAGGAAGCCCCGGCUAACUACGUGCCAGCAGCCGCGGUAAUACGUAGGGGGCAAGCGUUAUCCGGAAUCACUGGGCGUAAAGGGUGCGUAGGCGGUCUUGUAAGUCUAGGGUGAAAGGCUACGGCUCAACCGUAGUAAGCCUUAGAAACUGCAGGACUUGAGUGCAGGAGAGGAGAGUGGAAUUCCUAGUGUAGCGGUGAAAUGCGUAGAUAUUAGGAGGAACACCAGUGGCGAAGGCGACUCUCUGGACUGUAACUGACGCUGAGGCACGAAAGCGUGGGGAGCGAAC